This is a long non-coding RNA of Rhineura floridana, 1295 nucleotides long. RefSeq lists it as uncharacterized. The record is from RefSeq and is a predicted model, not a curated record. Lineage: Eukaryota; Metazoa; Chordata; Lepidosauria; Squamata; Rhineuridae. The transcript is spliced from 3 exons.
CGUGGGGGUGGCUGGCGGGUCACGGGCACGGAGUCAUAGUGUAGAGGGAGUGCACUUGCUUGGAGAGGCUGGACGAGCCGCUGCCCAGGGCUGCCGCCCGGGCCGGGACCUUUUCCCCGAGCCGCUUGCUGGCCACGUAGGCGCUGGUGGAGAAGCCGGAGCCGGGCUUGCGGAAGUUGGGCAGGUGGUGGAAGGGCUGCAGGGUAGUCAGCAGGCUGGGGCGGUACAAGGAGAGUCGCGGGGGCCGCUCUGUCUUCCGAGGGGACGGGAGUUGGAGGAUGCAGUUGGUGGCCGUCACCUCGGGGCUCUUCUUUUCCGUGGCCUUGGUGGCCCUGCUGGGGAAAGCCCCUGUGGCAGAGGCUGCGCGGGGCGUGGGCAGCGCUUUACCCUCCUUGGCAGGCGCUUCGGGAGUCUUGGCUGUGCUCUCCAGGCCGGGGAGUUGCGAAGUGGCGCUUCCGCUUUCGGCUGCAAAGGGGUAAGAGAGGUUAGGCUCUUGCAGAGCCUGUCCCAAGGACAGAGCAAGCUGAAGUGCCUGGUGAUGGGGCACGGUUGCCCGAAGACUGCCAGGCAGAGGGCCAGCUCGCAACUUGGUCCUGUGGAAACACUGAGGCACGACGUUUCCUCUUACAAAAGUCACCCCCGCGCCCAGGGUAAUCUUUUGCCCCAGAUGUGUGCAGCAGGGAAGAAACCAAACUGGUGGGUCCGGGGAAAUUACCCAGGGUGGGAGUGACUGAAGACUGACGUCAGCCUUUAUGCUUUACAAGAGCUCAUCACCCGGUGGAAGAUGGCUGACGUGGCAGGCAACAUCCAUCGGUGCGUGGCCACCUGCUGCAGGCCGAGCCGGGCUGCUGGCUUCAGCUGGAGCAAGCCCUCAAUGAGGUUCUGACACUCUGGAGCAGGGAGAAAAGCAGUGAUCUUGGUGUACUGGAGCGCUGUUUAUGGAAGGUGAGGCAGUGCAUCAGCCAGAGGAGCACACAGCUGCUUAUGGAAGUUCCCAUCACCACUCCUGGGACCUGCACGCAAGAGCAUUUUGAAGCAUUCGGUGUGCCUCGCCUACAAGUUUUAGUCUUCUGCCAGAGGCGGAAAAGCCAAAAGAACAAUUAAUUGACAUACUAUCUCAGGCAAUGAGUUGUGCUUGUAUAGAAUUUCAGGCCUCUUUAAUGCCUAUUAGUAUCCGGAGUCCUCCUAGCACCUUAAUAUUGUAAAAAUGAAUGCCAGCUUUAAAACACUCGAAGGAAUGAGUUGUAUCCUGCAAAGUGCAGAGAACUACAGCAUCCUUAUAUGAUAUUAAACAA